RNAcentral lists this transfer RNA (67 nucleotides) under Marmota monax (woodchuck). RNAcentral describes it as "tRNA.Ala". Lineage: Eukaryota; Metazoa; Chordata; Mammalia; Rodentia; Sciuridae. The record is from RNAcentral.
GGAUUGUGGCUCAGCGGUAAAACGCUCACCUAGCAUGGGCGGGACCCGAGUUCAAUCCUCAGCACCA